UGGGGAAUAUUGCACAAUGGGCGCAAGCCUGAUGCAGCCAUGCCGCGUGUAUGAAGAAGGCCCUAGGGUUGUAAAGUACUUUCAGUCGGGAGGAAGGCGUUGAUGCUAAUAUCAUCAACGAUUGACGUUACCGACAGAAGAAGCACCGGCUAACUCCGUGCCAGCAGCCGCGGUAAUACGGAGGGUGCAAGCGUUAAUCGGAAUUACUGGGCGUAAAGCGCACGCAGGCGGUUGAUUAAGUUAGAUGUGAAAUCCCCGGGCUUAACCUGGGAAUGGCAUCUAAGACUGGUCAGCUAGAGUCUUGUAGAGGGGGGUAGAAUUCCAUGUGUAGCGGUGAAAUGCGUAGAGAUGUGGAGGAAUACCGGUGGCGAAGGCGGCCCCCUGGACAAAGACUGACGCUCAGGUGCGAAAGCGUGGGGAGCAAACAGG
RNAcentral lists this ribosomal RNA (429 nucleotides) under uncultured bacterium. RNAcentral's name for it is "bacterial SSU rRNA". It matches the Rfam family "Bacterial small subunit ribosomal RNA", at positions 355 to 776 of the family's 1533-position model. RNAcentral also lists the same sequence under 1 other name. The record is from RNAcentral.